GUGAGACAUAAAUGAAGGAUUAGCACCAAGAGUGCUUUUUACCUUGGAAGAUCUAAUUAGAUUAAAAAAACAUAGCCUUGACCCUUUUCAAAAUAAGUGUCAAUGAAAAGACUUACAAGCUGCUAGAGCCAGAGAUGAUUACAGGAAAAAAAAUCAUUAUGCUGAUAAUGUUGGCUGCCCUCAUGACUUCAUCCAGUCACGUUAGCUGGACAAGCUUACCAAUGGAGAUUUUAUGCUUUGAGGUGUGUCAUGUGAAAUGGCCUGUUGCUCCUGCAAACAGGGAGAAGGAAACCAAGGCAUACAGAGAAGGAGGAAAUUAGUAGCUCAAGAUAAAAAAGCAGUGAGAUUCUCCACUGAAGACUAAAGAAUCCCUACAAUGGAAUUUGCUUGCUGUCUCUGCAAUCCUCUAUUUCCAUCCCUGGAAAGAUAGAGCAUUAACAUGAACUCAAUGACCAGAAGUCAAGUUAAUGAAGGCAACAUCUGGAAGUUGUUUCUGGAGUGCAGAAUCUUAAAGUAAGUGUGUGAGGGCAAUUAAUUGAUUUAGCACUUUUAAGGGAAGUUUCUUCUCAAUUAUA
This 575-nucleotide long non-coding RNA is filed under the name Vombatus ursinus (common wombat). RNAcentral's name for it is "lncRNA (ENSVURG00010023205.1)". Lineage: Eukaryota; Metazoa; Chordata; Mammalia; Diprotodontia; Vombatidae. The record is from RNAcentral.